GGUUCCGGCUGCCGCCGGAUCAAAAGGGAACGGGGUGAGAAUCCCCGACAGGACCGCUGCUGUGUGGGUGAGCGAAGCGCACAAAGCCAUUGGCAAUCGCCGAGAAGGCGCGCAAGCGAUGAGCCCGAGCCAGAAGACCUGCCCGUGGACCA
RNAcentral lists this non-coding RNA (152 nucleotides) under bovine gut metagenome. The record is from RNAcentral.